This 112-nucleotide non-coding RNA is filed under the name Ailuropoda melanoleuca (giant panda). RNAcentral describes it as "Eukaryotic large subunit ribosomal RNA". It matches the Rfam family "Eukaryotic large subunit ribosomal RNA", at positions 1217 to 1332 of the family's 3401-position model. The record is from Rfam by way of RNAcentral. Lineage: Eukaryota; Metazoa; Chordata; Mammalia; Carnivora; Ursidae.
AAAGAAAACAAUGAUAGUAGCAGGAUGGCGGCCAUGAAAGCCAGAAUCCACUAAGGCGUGUUAAACAACUCAUCUGCCAGAUCAGCUAGCUCUGAAAAUAGAUGGCAUUGCA